CGGCAUUCAUUUGUAUAAAAGGAUCAGCUUCACCACUUUACAACUCAGUUUAUAGUUGAAUUCGUGGUAAUCAGCAGACAUGAAAUUCUUUAUCUUCUUCGCUUUGUUGCUGGUCCUUUUAGGCACCGUUUUGGGUGAUGGAAAGCAUCCAUUGAAUAAUAAAGAACAAUCACACCAAAAACAACAACCAAGCCCAAGCCACGGCGCCCCACAACAAACAGCUGGACACCACAAGGAUUCCCACCAUGGCCACUAGAUAUGCCUCAACAUUGAAUGUAUGCGAUUGGAAUAUUUCUAUGCAAAGUACUUGGUUUGAAUAAAUAAAAAAUU
Molecule: long non-coding RNA, 330 nt
Organism: Bactrocera dorsalis (oriental fruit fly)
Lineage: Eukaryota; Metazoa; Arthropoda; Insecta; Diptera; Tephritidae
Exons: 2
Source: RefSeq, a predicted model, not a curated record